GAACCUGCGGAAGGAUCAUUACCUAGAGUUGUAGGCUUUGCCUGCUAUCUCUUACCCAUGUCUUUUGAGUACCUUCGUUUCCUCGGCGGGUUCGCCCGCCGAUUGGACAAUUUAAACCAUUUGCAGUUGCAAUCAGCGUCUGAAAAAACAUAAUAGUUACAACUUUCAACAACGGAUCUCUUGGUUCUGGCAUCGAUGAAGAACGCAGCGAAAUGCGAUAAGUAGUGUGAAUUGCAGAAUUCAGUGAAUCAUCGAAUCUUUGAACGCACAUUGCGCCCCUUGGUAUUCCAUGGGGCAUGCCUGUUCGAGCGUCAUUUGUACCUUCAAGCUCUGCUUGGUGUUGGGUGUUUGUCUCGCCUCUGCGUGUAGACUCGCCUCAAAACAAUUGGCAGCCGGCGUAUUGAUUUCGGAGCGCAGUACAUCUCGCGCUUUGCACUCAGAACGACGACGUCCAAAAGUACAUUUUUACACUCUUGACCU
Molecule: ribosomal RNA, 480 nt
Filed under: Didymella macrostoma
Lineage: Eukaryota; Fungi; Ascomycota; Dothideomycetes; Pleosporales; Didymellaceae
Description: eukaryotic LSU rRNA
Rfam family: 5.8S ribosomal RNA (bases 161-314)
Source: RNAcentral